Molecule: unclassified non-coding RNA, 371 nt
Filed under: soil metagenome
Description: partial contains 5.8S ribosomal RNA, internal transcribed spacer 2, and large subunit ribosomal RNA
Rfam family: 5.8S ribosomal RNA (bases 1-122)
Source: RNAcentral
GAUGAAGAACGCAGCGAAAUGCGAUACUUGGUGUGAAUUGCUGAAUCCCGUGAACCAUCAAGUUUUUGAACGCAAGUUGCGCCCGAAGCCAUUAGGCCGAGGGCACGCCUGCCUGGGUGUCACACAUUGUUGCCCCAAUGCCAAUCGCCUCACUUUGUAGGUAUUUGCUUGGGGUGAAUGUUGGCCUCCCGUGAGCUCUGUCUCACGGUUGGUUGAAAAUCGAGUGCAUGGUGUCGGGUGUACCAUGAUGGAUGGUGGUUGAGUGAUGCUCGAGGCCAAUCAUGGGUAACUCCACCAGAAUUGUGCUCGGUGACCCACAUCAAGUCAGGCGGGGCUACCCGCUGAGUUUAAGCAUAUCAAUAAGCGGAGGA